GAUGAACGCUGGCGGCGUGCCUAAUACAUGCAAGUCGAGCGAACAGACGAGGAGCUUGCUCCUUCGACGUUAGCGGCGGACGGGUGAGUAACACGUAUGUAACCUACCUAUCAGACUGGGAAAACUUCGGGAAACCGGAGCUAAUACCGGAUAAUAUUUCGAACCGCAUGGUUCGAUAGUGAAAGAUGGCUUUGCGAGCACGUAUAGAUGCACUUGCGCCGUAUUAGAUAGUUGUUAAGGUAAAGGCUUACCAAGGCAACGAUACGUAAGCGACCUGAGAGGCGGAUCGGCCACACUGGAGCGUAGACACGGUCCAGACUCCUGCGGGAGGCAGCAGUAUGGAAUGUUCCGCAAUGGUCGAGAGCCUUACGGAGCAACGGCGCGUGAGUGAUGAAGGUCUUCGGAUCGUAAAGCUCUGUUAUUAGGUAAGAACCACCGUGUACGUAACUGUGCACGGCUUGACGGUACCUAAUCAGAAAGCCACGGCUAACUACGUG
Molecule: ribosomal RNA, 497 nt
Filed under: uncultured bacterium
Lineage: Bacteria
Description: partial 16S ribosomal RNA
Rfam family: Bacterial small subunit ribosomal RNA
Source: RNAcentral